UACGAAGGGGGCUAGCGUUGUUCGGAUUUACUGGGCGUAAAGCGCACGUAGGCGGAUUGUUAAGUCAGGGGUGAAAUCCUGGAGCUCAACUCCAGAACUGCCUUUGAUACUGGCAAUCUAGAGUCCGGAAGAGGUGAGUGGAACUCCUAGUGUAGAGGUGGAAUUCGUAGAUAUUAGGAAGAACACCAGUGGCGAAGGCGGCUCACUGGUCCGGUACUGACGCUGAGGUGCGAAAGCGUGGGGAGCAACAGG
This 252-nucleotide ribosomal RNA is filed under the name uncultured bacterium. RNAcentral's name for it is "partial 16S ribosomal RNA". It matches the Rfam family "Bacterial small subunit ribosomal RNA", at positions 524 to 775 of the family's 1533-position model. The record is from RNAcentral.